RNAcentral lists this long non-coding RNA (872 nucleotides) under Homo sapiens (human). Its description in RNAcentral is "novel transcript". The record is from RNAcentral. Lineage: Eukaryota; Metazoa; Chordata; Mammalia; Primates; Hominidae.
UGGGAUGUCUCUGAGUGUUCAAAAAUGUUUUGCUGAUGAGUAAUUAUUUUCUAGCCUUGAGCAAAUAUUGACAAUUUUCAAAGUAAUUCUGGAUUACUACAAUUUAAACUGUAUAAUUCUCCUCCAAGACUAAGGAUGUUCUCUGACAGCAGCUGCAUCCAUGUUAAUGCUGAGGAAUCUGGGACUCAGAGAGGUGAAGUGACUUCCCAAGAUCACAAAUAUCUGCAAAAGUCAACAUUAUGAAUAACUGAAAAGAAGAUGACAUAAGAAAUACAAUAAAGUCAGCAAGUGUCAACUUGACUGGAUUAAGGAAUAUCUAGAGAUCUGGCAAAGCUUCUGUGUGUUUGUGAGGAUGUUUCAAAGAAGAAAUUGGAGUUGUAUACCAGGACAGUCUAAUGCCUUGAGUAGGUGACCGGGUGUGCACUACCCCUCAAUGAGCUGUGAACAGGCCUACUGCUGUUUCAUAAUGUGCAUUUGGCUUUCCUGGACCUACCGUGAAGAUCUUUUAAAUCUCAGUUUUCUUCCAGUACAGAUAAUUCAGAAGUCAAUUUUAAGAAACAAGACUUGUGAGUCAUCAAUGUAUAGGUGGUUACUGAAUAUAGAGAUUUAUCCAGGAUGAUCAUUAAAUUGAGCCAAUGGAUGAUUGCCUGACAGAAAGAAGAAUACACUUUUAGGAUAACUAUGUGUGAAGUUGUUUGGGCCAAUAAGCAACACGAAGAAAGAGUUCCCAGCCCCAUUUCAAACUGAAGUGUUUUAAGAAUAUGAAAUGUACCUGAUGGAAUCUUAGAUGGCUAUUUUUCCUCUGACAUAACUAAAUUGACUCAUGUGUGGCAAAACUUCUUCAAUAUAAAACAAAUCACUUUCUCAAACCA